GCCCAAAUUUCGAAUGUUUCGAAUUUUAGUGAACAUAAACCCUAUUUCAUAUCCAUUUAGAAGCAUAGCGAACCAAAAUGGUGUUAGAUAUUCAGACAGUACAUCAUAUUUUAAAAAAUACAGCAGUUCAAAAUGUAAACAAACGCCGUUUGUUUACAUUACGGACUUGACUUCCACUUUAAGAAUAAUUUUAAAAUUGCAAAAUCGCCCCCCAAAUAUCACUAAAUUUAAUUACAAAAUUGAAUCAAUUUCCCAAACAUAUAUAUGCUACAAUCUUAGACAAAUAACAUGCGGACACUGAUUAAAAAUGGCUGAAAUUUAAAGGAAUCAAAUAAUUAUACGCAUAUUCGGCCGUAUUCCCCGCUCCCCGUCACUGAAUUAAUUAUACGCAUAUUCAGCCGUAUUCCCCGCUCCCCUGUUACAAUGUUGUUGCUACAGAUACCGUAAUAGUUGCAGCGCUGUGAAUACUCGUUACAAUUGUAACGCGUUACAGGCUACUCGUUACGUUUGCAGUAAUUUUGGCCUGUAAUUAAUUACAUUUUUGAAAAGGAACGAAUUAUUGUAAUUAAUUACAAAAUAA
This is a non-coding RNA of Paramuricea clavata, 580 nucleotides long. NCBI's taxonomy places the organism in Eukaryota, Metazoa, Cnidaria, Anthozoa, Malacalcyonacea, Plexauridae. The record is from the annotation of a GenBank genome assembly.